CGCGCAGCGUGGCGAGAACUGGGGGCCGGGUGGGGAGCGCCGAGACCGGCCGGUCCCUGGUGGCGCAUAGAAAGCGCCUGGGGACCAGGGUCGGGGAGCGCAGUUGACAGGCUGUGCGUUCUGGGGUGGGACCAGGUCCUUCCAGCUCAUCUCAGUAGCCAGUAGAAGCAGGGACGACGGACGGUGACCUCCGUGAGCAUGAGGACCCUGUCGCCUAUGUUCACUUUCACAUUUUCAGCACCCAGGGCAGUGCCUAGAACAUGCCCACGCCUGGCACAUAGGUGCUCAAUAAAUAUUUGAUAGACGUUGAGAUGUGAUGGAGUGAAUUAUCAGGACCAGCUCUGUGACUGUCGCCUUCGGAUGCAGUACUGUAACUAUCUUCUGUCCCUCGAAGAGCUUCUAGUCUAAUGGGAAAACAGAUGUUUAGCAGCUGCUCCCAAGAAAGAAGAUUCCCAGUGCAGAGAAAAUAGAGCUGAAUGCGUACAUGAGAGAGAAAGGAGAAAGUGGUUCUGAUGAGUGUUUCUGUGCCACAAGUCACCCUGAAGUUUGGUGGCUUGGGAGGGAGCUUUGUUGGGUGACGGGAGUGUUCUGUAUCUCGGCUGUGAUGGUAGUUUCGUGACUGUACAUUUGUCAAAGUCAGCAAACUACACCUGAAAAGGGUAGAUCUUACUUAGUCUAUGUUAUACUUUAAUAAGCUGCCUUUCAAAACUGAAACAAGGGGUGCCUGGGUGGCACAGUCCGUUGAACGUGGGGCUCUCUGCUUCCGCCCAGGUCUCCCGGUUGUAUGGUCGAGCCCUGCGUCAGGGUGCACGCGGAGCGUGGAGUCUGCUUGAGAUUCUCUCCCUCACCCUGUCCCUCUCCCCCUCCAAAUAAGUAAACAAAAAUCUUUAAAAAAAAACUAAAAACUAAACCCAAACCCUUAGAGACUUGCGACAAUAACUGUUGGUUACGCCCACAGACGCUGCGGAGGGGGGAUCAGGGCUGGACACAGUAGGAGGCCUAGGCGUCGGCUGGGAGAACCCCAGGCUGGACAAGGACCAAGUGGCCGAGGUGGGGUCACAUGGAGGCCCCUGG
This is a long non-coding RNA of Mustela erminea (ermine), 1074 nucleotides long. RefSeq lists it as uncharacterized. NCBI's taxonomy places the organism in Eukaryota, Metazoa, Chordata, Mammalia, Carnivora, Mustelidae. The record is from RefSeq and is a predicted model, not a curated record. The transcript is spliced from 3 exons.